GAUGAAGAACGUAGCGAAAUGCGAUAAGUAAUGUGAAUUGCAGAAUUCAGUGAAUCAUCGAAUCUUUGAACGCACAUUGCGCCCGCCAGUAUUCUGGCGGGCAUGCCUGUUCGAGCGUCAUUUCAACCCUCAAGACCCCUUCGGGGGACUUGGUGUUGGGGACCGGCACAGGGGCCUGCCUGCUUGUCUUGCAGCGCCCUCGCCGCCCCCGAAAUGAAUUGGCGGCCUCGUCGCGGCCUCCCCUGCGUAGUAGCACAACCUCGUAACGGGAACGUGACGGCGGCCACUGCCGUAAAACAACCCCAAUUUUAUUAGAGUUGACCUCGAAUCAGGUAGGAAUACCCGCUGAACUUAAGCAUAUCAAUAAGCGGAGGA
RNAcentral lists this unclassified non-coding RNA (375 nucleotides) under soil metagenome. Its description in RNAcentral is "partial contains 5.8S ribosomal RNA, internal transcribed spacer 2, and large subunit ribosomal RNA". The stretch from base 1 to 120 matches the Rfam family "5.8S ribosomal RNA", at positions 35 to 154 of the family's 154-position model. The record is from RNAcentral.